Molecule: long non-coding RNA, 738 nt
Organism: Manis javanica (Malayan pangolin)
Lineage: Eukaryota; Metazoa; Chordata; Mammalia; Pholidota; Manidae
Source: RefSeq, a predicted model, not a curated record
ACCCAGAGCCGCAGCGUCAGCAGCCCCAGCAGCAGUGAGGCCAGGAGGGCUGACCGCGCAGCGGGGCGCGGGAGGCAGCAGCGCCGGGAGGGGCUCCAGCACCGCGCCAACAGCGAGGCCGCCUCCCGGUGGUUAGGGGCAGCCACACCUGGACGUGAAAUCAAAGGAAUAUAUGACAAGGAAAUGCUGGUGAAUGAAACAUAAAACUUUCGUAGGAGAGACCGAAAAGAUUUGCCGUUAAAUCUAAUCCACUCUCUAAAUAUGACUCUUCCCAGAGAAAUAAAAUUAUGCCAGAAGAUUUCAAAAGACAAUUACUGAAUAAUUAAAUCACCUUUAAUGGCUGAAUAAGGAAAAGGAAGCUAAUCAGCUGAAGUGUCUGCAGGAGAAUGCCACGGAGACCACAUGGGAACAGUUUCAUGAUGAGGCCCAGUCAGCUGGUACCUAGAAUCCCUCCAAGAGCAGAGCUGUGCAAAGUGCACUCUGACAUUCCCUUCAACUAGAGCUCCUGACUUUGGCAACUAAAAGCCUUUCUCAACUGUAACAUCUAAAGUUCUCAUGUAUGCACAUCUGAAAGACAGUUUGAUUGUUACCUACCUAAACCAUCUCUAAAUAUAUCUGUAUGUGGAAUUUAUUCUACCCAAUAUCCUUAUCCCAAAAUCUUACUGAAAAAUUUCUGCACCCAGUGGAAAAUAAAAACUUAAUUUUAAAUGUCAUGUACAUUGCCAAAUGCAUUUUAAU